Molecule: ribosomal RNA, 800 nt
Filed under: uncultured Glomus
Lineage: Eukaryota; Fungi; Glomeromycota; Glomeromycetes; Glomerales; Glomeraceae
Description: SSU rRNA
Rfam family: Eukaryotic small subunit ribosomal RNA
Source: RNAcentral
UAUCAACUUUCGAUGGUAGGAUAGAGGCCUACCAUGGUGGUAACGGGUAACGGGGUGUUAGGGCACGACACCGGAGAGGGAGCCUGAGAAACGGCUACCACAUCCAAGGAUGGCAGCAGGCGCGCAAAUUACCCAAUCCCGACACGGGGAGGUAGUGACAAUAAAUAACAAUACGGGGUUCUUUAGGAUCUCGUAAUUGGAAUGAGUACAAUUUAAAUCUCUUAACGAGGAACAAUUGGAGGGCAAGUCUGGUGCCAGCAGCCGCGGUAAUUCCAGCUCCAAUAGCGUAUAUUAAAGUUGUUGCAGUUAAAAAGCUCGUAGUUGAAUUUCGGGGUUAGUAGGUUGGUCAUGCCUCCGGUAUGUACUGAUCUCACUGAUUCCUCCUUCCUUAUGAACCGUAAUGCCAUUAAUUUGGUGUUGCGGGGAAUUUGGACUGUUACUUUGAAAAAAUUAGUGUGUUUAAAGCAGGCUAACGCUUGAAUACAUUAGCAUGGAAUAAUGAAAUAGGACGUUCGAUCCUAUUUUGUUGGUUUCUAGGAUUGACGUAAUGAUUAAUAGGGAUAGUUGGGGGCAUUAGUAUUCAAUUGUCAGAGGUGAAAUUCUUGGAUUUAUUGAAGACUAACUACUGCGAAAGCAUUUGCCAAGGAUGUUUUCAUUAAUCAAGAACGAAAGUUAGGAGAUCGAAGACGAUCAGAUACCGUCGUAGUCUUAACCAUAAACUAUGCUGACUAGGGAUCGGAUGAUGUUAAUUUUUUAAUGACUCAUUCGACGCCUUACGGGAAACCAAAGUGUUUGGGUUC